This 610-nucleotide long non-coding RNA is filed under the name Homo sapiens (human). RNAcentral's name for it is "non-protein coding lnc-EXOSC6-6:1". The record is from RNAcentral. Lineage: Eukaryota; Metazoa; Chordata; Mammalia; Primates; Hominidae.
AGGAAACCCAACACCUUCCAACCCAGCACCACUUGGCUGCAGACUGAGCAUGAGUUUCCUUCCAUUAAAGUCUUUGAAGUGCUUUUUCCCCUAGAUCAGUGGUUCUCAAGUGGGGGCGAGUCUGCCUUCCAGGGAGUAAUUGGCGAUAAUGUCUGAAGACAUUUUUGAUUUUCACAACUAGGGGCAGAUCCUGCUGUCACGUACUUGGUAGAGGCCAGGGUGCCCCUCAGCAUCCCACACUGCAAGAGAAGUUUCCACAACAGAGAAUGAUCUGGCCCCAAAUGUCAGUAGUGCCAGGAUUGAAAAACCCUGUUCUGGCAGUUUAUGCUGGGCAUAGUUUAGCAAGUUCCAGUCCUUUGGAGUCCCUUUUCUCCUACUUUACGGUAACUUAUGCUUGUUUCUCUUGCUGACAGCUGAAAUCACAGGGCAAGGGAGCUGGUGGGGAAGACCUCAUUAUGCUGGACAUUUACGCUAUCGAAGAGCUCCGGGCACGGGGUCUGGAGGUCACAGAUGAUUCCCCAAAGUACAAUUACCAUUUGGACUCCAGUGGUAGCUAUGUAUUUGAGAACACAGUGGCUACGGUGAUGGCUCUGCGCAGGGAGAAGAUGUU